Copidosoma floridanum is the source of this 433-nucleotide long non-coding RNA. The record is from RefSeq and is a predicted model, not a curated record. Lineage: Eukaryota; Metazoa; Arthropoda; Insecta; Hymenoptera; Encyrtidae.
UUCAUGCUACAGUAUAUACUUCCACAAUCAAGUGUAAAAGCGAAAUUUAGUGUCAAGAAGCAUAUAUUUGCAAUGUUUAAUUGACAAGCGAGUGCCUUUACAAGUGUUUUAGCUCGUGUGCAGUUGAUAUCAUGGAACUAGCCAUGGACUAUGCUAGCACAGUAUUGAUUAAAACAUCCCUGCUAAGUUUUGUUAAAACAUCUUUGGAACAAUCGAGUAUAUAAAGGCAUCUUAAUGAGGUUUAUACUCAAGUCUCGUCAUGGAAUCUUGACACGCAACCAUUAUCUGAUCACACAUCAAGGUUGCAAGGCUAAACUUUGUAACGAGAGUCUGGUGUAUAAAGCAUCAUGGUUGAUGUAUUAUCUUGCUCCUUUUGCAUGUCAUCAUUGGCUGUAGUAAUAAGCCUACUAUGUCAUCAGCACUGAAGCCACUA